UACGUAGGGUGCAAGCGUUAAUCGGAAUUACUGGGCGUAAAGCGUGCGCAGGCGGUGAUGUAAGACAGAUGUGAAAUCCCCGGGCUCAACCUGGGAACUGCAUUUGUGACUGCAUCGCUGGAGUGCGGCAGAGGGGGAUGGAAUUCCGCGUGUAGCAGUGAAAUGCGUAGAUAUGCGGAGGAACACCGAUGGCGAAGGACAAUCCCCUGGGCCUGCACUGACGCUCAUGCACGAAAGCGUGGGGAGCAAACAGG
RNAcentral lists this ribosomal RNA (254 nucleotides) under uncultured bacterium. RNAcentral's name for it is "partial 16S ribosomal RNA". It matches the Rfam family "Bacterial small subunit ribosomal RNA", at positions 524 to 776 of the family's 1533-position model. The record is from RNAcentral.